This is a long non-coding RNA of Amyelois transitella, 1791 nucleotides long. RefSeq lists it as uncharacterized. The transcript has 3 exons. NCBI's taxonomy places the organism in Eukaryota, Metazoa, Arthropoda, Insecta, Lepidoptera, Pyralidae. The record is from RefSeq and is a predicted model, not a curated record.
CAUGCUUGUGCAAUGGCGCAAGGCACGUAAAAAGUGAGUGUUCGUCUACCAUUAUGUAAAUUUAUUACUUUGACUCAAUAUUCUCAAAAAGGGGGACUUUUAACUUUUUAAAUGGUGAAACAAUAAUACUUAUGUGAGAACUGGUUAUACGAUUGCCUCACGAAUUACUUAUUCAAAAUCUAACGAAAUGCAAUUUAAUUUAUUUCGGUUGGCCAAUAUUUGUGCAAUUUGCUUUGAAAGUGUCAUCGGCAGGCUGAAACGCUCUGCCGGUAUUGUUUCGCGGCUGUGACCUCAUUUGUUUUCUGUUUUGCUGUGAUUGCGAGCCCCCGAGCUCAGGAGCUCUGCUGUCAUAAUGUACCACUCGUUAUCUCACGCCACGACCUCGUUUCUGCCACUUUACACAAACGGAAACCGAGUUAUGAACUUUUAAAAUUCAUUUUACUCCGACAGAGUAUUAAAAGUUUCAAGCCGUUCCGGGCUUAGUGGCUUGAUUGCGUUUUUAUUGGUGAAGGUGGUAGACUUCUUGACCAACCAACCUUCAAAAUAAAAGCAAAUCUUAUCAAAUCUUUGGUAAUAAAAUAGAGUCCUUCAUUUAAUCAGUAGAAGUGAUGAGGCAACGGUCUAGCAAGAUAUGUAACACUUCAAGAUAAACAAUUGUUAUCAAUCUAUUUAUUGCUCAGUAGCGCACCAAAUUUGUUGGAUAUUGUGACAAUAACAAUACGAGGAAAUCGGUGAUAGUCAAGUGAAAAUUUAAAGUUUUUACAACAUUUGAGUUUGUUAUUAAACAUAAAACCAAGCUUUAUUAUUUCGAUAGCUAAUAUUUAAUGAUUUUUGCUGUUUAAAAAACUAAGGUUUAAUUGAGUACUUAUUAAUUAUAUUUGUAUUUCAAAACGGCUUCUCAGAUUAUAUCAACCAACAGGAGUGAUAUCUUACUGUUAGAUUAAAAUUCUACAACUAUUAAGUAUGUUAAUCUGAUAUAAAAUUGAUAUGUCUUGUAAUACUACUUACUACUGAUGGGUCUAGCUGGACCGAUUCCAAAUAAAAAGUAUGUAGGUCGAAAUUUUAUCGCACGAGCGUCUCACAUGAUAUAACUGACGUUUACAUAAUAUACCGUAUGAUAAAUAUCUGCGGCAUAACUUGUGUUUAUGACAUAUUAAGAUUUCUAUUACAACAACAUUUCUUAUGGGUAGUCGGUAUAAGCUGCUCUACUGACUAAAUAUAAUGGCUCCUUAACUCAGUUUUGAACAACAAACAGAAUAAAAUUAUGAAGCUGGCUUUAUUGGUACUUAUAUGAUAAAACGUAGGUCAAAAAGUAAGUUUACCUAAUAAAUGUUUUUGUGUGAACAUUAAGUAUUAUUUUAAUAGUAUGUUUUCAAGGUUAUUUGAAUCCGCAGCGUAUGAGUAUAUAUAGUAUAACACAACCAUUGGUAAUGAACUGCUAGCAUAUAUACGUAGUUAAAACAUUGUAUAUUAUGUGAAGAUAACACGUUUCUUUUAUUAAUGAGUAAGGAAAAAUAAAUAAAUGUGUUCGCAUUUUUUCAUAUUACGACAACAGUAAUAUAAAUUAUAAGUUUUCCGAUGUAAUGAAGUAUUCAGAUAGCAGCCGUUCCAUUAUAAUGAUGAUUUACUAGACACACUUCAUUGUUUAUAUUGACGAAGUAUAUUUUGGGCCAAAUGCCAUAGAGUCUAGGCAAUACAUAUUCUUUCUUCAUGCCUGGAAUCCUAAAAAGUUACAUAAGUAUUUUAUGGAUAACUUUAAUUUAUGACUAAUAUCAUCGUUAUCUAUUUUAU